Non-coding RNA from Podarcis lilfordi (Lilford's wall lizard), 73 nucleotides. NCBI's taxonomy places the organism in Eukaryota, Metazoa, Chordata, Lepidosauria, Squamata, Lacertidae. The record is from the annotation of a GenBank genome assembly.
GGGGUGAGUUCAUUGGUUAAGGAACAUCUGCUUUGCAUGCAGGAGGUCCCAGGAUCAAUCCCUAGCAGCAUCU